RNAcentral lists this ribosomal RNA (478 nucleotides) under uncultured bacterium. Its description in RNAcentral is "bacterial SSU rRNA". It matches the Rfam family "Bacterial small subunit ribosomal RNA", at positions 28 to 507 of the family's 1533-position model. The record is from RNAcentral.
GACGAACGCUGGCGGCGUGCCUAACACAUGCAAGUCGAACGGAACUCAUUGGAUCAAGACUUCGGUCAAGUGAAUUUGAGUUUAGUGGCGGACGGGUGAGUAACGCGUGAGGAACCUGCCUUUCAGAGGGGGACAACAGUUGGAAACGACUGCUAAUACCGCAUGAUGCAUUUUGGGGCAUCCCUUAAAUGCCAAAGAUUUUAUCGCUGAAAGAUGGCCUCGCGUCUGAUUAGAUAGUUGGUGGGGUAACGGCCCACCAAGUCGACGAUCAGUAGCCGGACUGAGAGGUUGAACGGCCACAUUGGGACUGAGAUACGGUCCAGACUCCUACGGGAGCAGCAGUGGGGAAUAUUGGGCAAUGGGCGAAAGCCUGACCCAGCGACGCCGCGUGAGGGAAGAAGGUCUUCGGAUUGUAAACCUUUGUUGACAGGGACGAUAAUGACGGUACCUGUCGAGGAAGCCAACGGCUAACUACGUG